This 253-nucleotide ribosomal RNA is filed under the name uncultured bacterium. Its description in RNAcentral is "partial 16S ribosomal RNA". It matches the Rfam family "Bacterial small subunit ribosomal RNA", at positions 524 to 776 of the family's 1533-position model. The record is from RNAcentral.
UACGUAGGGGGCAAGCGUUGUUCGGAAUUACUGGGCGUAAAGCGCGCGUAGGCGGUCUGAAAAGUCAGAUGUGAAAGCCCCGGGCUCAACUUGGGAACUGCAUUUGACACUGUCAGACUAGAGUACAGAAGAGGUGACUGGAAUUCCCAGUGUAGCGGUGAAAUGCGUAGAUAUUGGGAGGAACACCAGAUGCGAAGGCGGGUCACUGGGCUGAUACUGACGCUGAAGUGCGAAAGCCAGGGGAGCGAACGGG